UAGGUGUCAUGUUGAUGGGAGGC
This 23-nucleotide non-coding RNA is filed under the name Mus musculus (house mouse). The record is from RNAcentral. Lineage: Eukaryota; Metazoa; Chordata; Mammalia; Rodentia; Muridae.